Molecule: ribosomal RNA, 497 nt
Filed under: uncultured bacterium
Lineage: Bacteria
Description: partial 16S ribosomal RNA
Rfam family: Bacterial small subunit ribosomal RNA
Source: RNAcentral
GAUGAACGCUGGCGGCGUGCCUAAUACAUGCAAGUCGAGCGAACAGACGAGGAGCUUGCUCCUCUGACGUUAGCGGCGGACGGGUGAGUAACACGUGGAUAACCUACCUAUAAGACUGGGAUAACUUCGGGAAACCGGAGCUAAUACCGGAUAAUAUAUUGAACCGCAUGGUUCAAUAGUGAAAGACGGUUUUGCUGUCACUUAUAGAUGGAUCCGCGCCGCAUUAGCUAGUUGGUAAGGUAACGGCUUACCAAGGCGGCGAUGCGUAGCCGACCUGAGAGGGGGAUCGGCCACACGGGAGCUGGGACACGGUCCAGACUCCUACGGGAGGCAGCAGUAGGGAAUCUUCCGCAAUGGGCGAAAGCCUGACGGAGCAACGCCGCGUGAGUGAUGAAGGUCUUCGGAUCGUAAAGCUCUGUUAUUAGGGAAGAACAAAUGUGUAAGUAACUAUGCACGUCUUGACGGUACCUAAUCAGAAAGCCACGGCUAACUACGUG